This 468-nucleotide ribosomal RNA is filed under the name uncultured bacterium. RNAcentral's name for it is "partial 16S ribosomal RNA". It matches the Rfam family "Bacterial small subunit ribosomal RNA", at positions 28 to 507 of the family's 1533-position model. The record is from RNAcentral.
GACGAACGCUGGCGGCGUGCUUAACACAUGCAAGUCGAACGGAAAGGCCCUGCUUUUGUGGGGUGCUUGAGUGGCGAACGGGUGAGUAACACGUGAGUAACCUGCCCUUGACUUUGGGAUAACUUUUGGAAACUGGGGCUAAUACCGCAUAGGAGCUUCUGCUGCAUGGUGGGGGUUGGAAAGUUUCGGCGGUGGGGGCUGGACUCGCGGCUUCUCCGCUUGUUGGUGUGGUAGGGGCUUACCAAGGCUUCGACGGGUAGCCGGCCUGGGAGGGUUACCGGGCACAUUGGGACUGAGGUAGGGCCCAGACUGCUACGGGAGGCAACAGUGGAGAGUAUGGCACAGUGGGCGGGAGCCUGAUGCAGCGACGCCGCGUGCGUGAUGACGGCCUUCGGGGUGUAAACCGCUUUGGCCUGUAACGUAGCGUGAGUGACGGUAACGGGUAAAAAAGCACCGGCUAACUACGUG